UACGUAGGGUGCGAGCGUUGUCCGGAAUUAUUGGGCGUAAAGAGCUCGUAGGCGGUUUGUUGCGUCUAUCGUGAAAACCUGCAGCUUAACUGUGGGCUUGCGGUGGAUACGGGCAGACUUGAGUUCGGUAGGGGAGACUGGAAUUCCUGGUGUAGCGGUGAAAUGCGCAGAUAUCAGGAGGAACACCGGUGGCGAAGGCGGGUCUCUGGGCCGAUACUGACGCUGAGGAGCGAAAGCGUGGGGAGAGAACAGG
This 253-nucleotide ribosomal RNA is filed under the name uncultured bacterium. RNAcentral describes it as "partial 16S ribosomal RNA". It matches the Rfam family "Bacterial small subunit ribosomal RNA", at positions 524 to 776 of the family's 1533-position model. The record is from RNAcentral.